This 100-nucleotide non-coding RNA is filed under the name Prochlorothrix hollandica. RNAcentral describes it as "TPP sequence". It matches the Rfam family "TPP riboswitch aptamer (THI element)". From Rfam's summary of the family: Vitamin B(1) in its active form thiamin pyrophosphate (TPP) is an essential coenzyme that is synthesised by coupling of pyrimidine and thiazole moieties in bacteria. The previously detected thiamin-regulatory element, thi box was extended, resulting in a new, highly conserved RNA secondary structure, the THI element, which is widely distributed in eubacteria and also occurs in some archaea. Lineage: Bacteria; Bacillati; Cyanobacteriota; Cyanophyceae; Prochlorotrichales; Prochlorotrichaceae. The record is from RNAcentral. RNAcentral also lists the same sequence under 1 other name.
ACAGUUGGCUGGGGGUGCCCAUCACAUCAUUGGGCUGAGAUCAUACCCUUAGAACCUGAGACUGGGUCAUACCAGCGGAGGGAAGCGUCACCAUUUCGCC